AUUGAACGCUGGCGGCAGGCUUAACACAUGCAAGUCGGGCGGGGGAAGGUAGCUUGCUACUGGACCUAGCGGCGGACGGGUGAGUAAUGCUUAGGAAUCUGCCUAUUAGUGGGGGACAACAUCUCGAAAGGGAUGCUAAUACCGCAUACGUCCUACGGGAGAAAGCAGGGGAUCUUCGGACCUUGCGCUAAUAGAUGAGCCUAAGUCGGAUUAGCUAGGUGGUGGGGUAAAGGCCUACCAAGGCGACGAUCUGUAGCGGGUCUGAGAGGAUGAUCCGCCACACGUGGACUGAGACACGGCCCAGACUCCUACGGGAGGCAGCAGUGGGGAAUAUUGGACAAUGGGGGGAACCCUGAUCCAGCCAUGCCGCGUGUGUGAAGAAGGCCUUAUGGUUGUAAAGCACUUUAAGCGAGGAGGAGGCUACUUUAGUUAAUACCUAGAGAUAGUGGACGUUACUCGCAGAAUAAGCACCGGCUAACUCUGUGCCAGCCGCCGCGGUAA
RNAcentral lists this ribosomal RNA (501 nucleotides) under uncultured bacterium. Its description in RNAcentral is "partial 16S ribosomal RNA". It matches the Rfam family "Bacterial small subunit ribosomal RNA", at positions 30 to 523 of the family's 1533-position model. The record is from RNAcentral.